RNAcentral lists this ribosomal RNA (788 nucleotides) under Marinococcus sp. NH19. Its description in RNAcentral is "bacterial SSU rRNA". It matches the Rfam family "Bacterial small subunit ribosomal RNA", at positions 61 to 825 of the family's 1533-position model. The record is from RNAcentral. Lineage: Bacteria; Bacillati; Bacillota; Bacilli; Caryophanales; Bacillaceae.
GCCGGCGGACUCCUUCGGGAGGAAACCGGUGGAACGAGCGGCGGACGGGUGAGUAACACGUGGGCAACCUGCCGGACUGAUGGGAAUAACCCCGGGAAACCGGGGCUAAUGCCCAAUACGCCCUGACCUCGCCUGAGGUCAGCGGUAAAGCAGGGAUCUUCGGAUCCGUGCACAGUCCGAUGGGCCCGCGGCGCAUUAGCUAGUUGGAGAGGUAAGGGCUCCCCAAGGCGACGAUGCGUAGCCGACCUGAGAGGGUGAUCGGCCACACUGGGACUGAGACACGGCCCAGACUCCUACGGGAGGCAGCAGUAGGGAAUCAUCCGCAAUGGGCGAAAGCCUGACGGUGCAACGCCGCGUGAGUGAUGAAGGUUUUCGGAUCGUAAAGCUCUGUUGACAGGGAAGAACCCACGCCAGUCGAACAGGCUGGCGUGCUGACGGUACCUGUCCAGAAAGCCCCGGCUAACUACGUGCCAGCAGCCGCGGUAAUACGUAGGGGGCAAGCGUUGUCCGGAAUUAUUGGGCGUAAAGGGCACGCAGGCGGUUUCGUCAGUCCGAUGUGACAGGCCACGGCUCAACCGUGGAAGGCCAUUGGAAACUGCGAAACUUGAGGACAGAAGAGGAGAGUGGAAUUCCACGUGUAGCGGUGAAAUGCGUAGAUAUGUGGAGGAACACCAGUGGCGAAGGCGACUCUCUGGUCUGUACCUGACGCUGAGGUGCGAAAGCAUGGGGAGCAAACAGGAUUAGAUACCCUGGUAGUCCAUGCCGUAAACGCUGAGUGCUAGGUGUUA